CGGCAUGCCUUACACAUGCAAGUCGAACGGCAGGCACGGGUGCUUGCACCUGGUGGCGAGUGGCGAACGGGUGAGUAAUAUAUCGGAACGUACCUUAUCGUGGGGGAUAACGCAGCGAAAGCUGCGCUAAUACCGCAUACGCCCUGAGGGGGAAAGCGGGGGACCGUAAGGCCUCGCGCGAUUAGAGCGGCCGAUAUCUGAUUAGCUUGUUGGUGGGGUAAAAGCCCACCAAGGCGACGAUCAGUAGCUGGUCUGAGAGGACGAUCAGCCACACUGGGACUGAGACACGGCCCAGACUCCUACGGGAGGCAGCAGUGGGGAAUUUUGGACAAUGGGGGCAACCCUGAUCCAGCAAUGCCGCGUGAGUGAAGAAGGCCUUCGGGUUGUAAAGCUCUUUUGUCAGGGAAGAAACAGCAGCUCUAACACAGUCUGCGAAUGACGGUACCUGAAGAAUAAGCACCGGCUAACUACGUG
This 474-nucleotide ribosomal RNA is filed under the name uncultured bacterium. RNAcentral's name for it is "bacterial SSU rRNA". It matches the Rfam family "Bacterial small subunit ribosomal RNA", at positions 40 to 507 of the family's 1533-position model. The record is from RNAcentral.